This 495-nucleotide ribosomal RNA is filed under the name uncultured bacterium. RNAcentral describes it as "partial 16S ribosomal RNA". It matches the Rfam family "Bacterial small subunit ribosomal RNA", at positions 28 to 507 of the family's 1533-position model. The record is from RNAcentral.
GACGAACGCUGGCGGCGUGCCUAAUACAUGCAAGUAGAACGCUGAAGGAGGAGCUUGCUUCUCUGGAUGAGUUGCGAACGGGUGAGUAACGCGUAGGUAACCUGCCUGGUAGCGGGGGAUAACUAUUGGAAACGAUAGCUAAUACCGCAUAGUAGCAGUUGUUGCAUGAUAACUGUUUGAAAGGUGCAAUUGCACCACUACCAGAUGGACCUGCGUUGUAUUAGCUAGUUGGUGGGGUAACGGCUCACCAAGGCGACGAUACAUAGCCGACCUGAGAGGGUGAUCGGCCACACUGGGACUGAGACACGGCCCAGACUCCUACGGGAGGCAGCAGGAGGGAAUCUUCGGCAAGGGACGGAAGUCUGACCGAGCAACGCCGCGUGAGUGAAGAAGGUUUUCGGAUCGUAAAGCUCUGUUGUAAGAGAAGAACGAGUGUGAGAGUGGAAAGUUCACACUGUGACGGUAUCUUACCAGAAAGGGACGGCUAACUACGUG